Molecule: ribosomal RNA, 364 nt
Filed under: Theileria sp. MK
Lineage: Eukaryota; Apicomplexa; Aconoidasida; Piroplasmida; Theileriidae
Description: SSU rRNA
Rfam family: Eukaryotic small subunit ribosomal RNA
Source: RNAcentral
UGGAAUGAUGGGAAUUUAAACCUCUUCCAGAGUAUCAAUUGGAGGGCAAGUCUGGUGCCAGCAGCCGCGGUAAUUCCAGCUCCAAUAGCGUAUAUUAAAAUUGUUGCAGUUAAAAAGCUCGUAGUUGAAUUUCUGCUGCAUUGUUUCUUCUCAUGUCGAGUGAUUCAUUGUGGCUUAUUUCGGAUUGUUUUUUACUUUCCGGAUGAUUACUUUGAGAAAAUUAGAGUGCUCAAAGCAGGCUUUUGCCUUGAAUAGUUUAGCAUGGAAUAAUAAAGUAGGACUUUGGUUCUAUUUUGUUGGUUUUAGGUACCAAAGUAAUGGUUAAUAGGAACAGUUGGGGGCAUUCGUAUUUAACUGUCAGAGG